This is a non-coding RNA of Dama dama (fallow deer), 1172 nucleotides long. The record is from the annotation of a RefSeq genome assembly. NCBI's taxonomy places the organism in Eukaryota, Metazoa, Chordata, Mammalia, Artiodactyla, Cervidae.
UGAAACUAAACCUCAUUGUGACUUCACCAUUUCUUCACGUUACGAGUCAAGAACGUUCUUCAGGAGACACUCUAGAGAUGAUUUCUUCUCCAGGAUUAGUGACUGUGAUACUCUUCCUGCUGGGACAAACCCGUGGAGACUCAGUGAGCCAGAUGGACGGCCAAGUGACCCUUUUGCAAGGGGCUACCUUGACUGUGAACUGUACUUAUUCAGCCACUGGGUACCCCACUCUUUUCUGGUAUGUCCAGUAUCCUGGAGAAGGUCCAGAACUCUUCCUGAAAGCCAUGAAGGCUAAUGACAAGGAAACCAACAAAGGUUUUGAAGCCACAUACAACGCAAAAACCACCUCCUUCCACUUGGAGAAAGCCUCAGUCCAGGAGUCAGACUCAGCUGUGUACUACUGCGCUCUGGGUGACACAGUGACGGGAACUGCAGGGGGAGCUGAGCGCAAACUCUGAGCAGCGAUGGGGCCUGGAUGCACUGUGGUUCCAACAGAGCCUGUGGUUGUCUGUCUCUUAGUCUCUGGUUGAUAGAAAAAACGUACAAAUGGCUAAAGCAUAAGAAUAAGAAGAGAAUAUUCCCCAUACUCAACUCUUUACUAGUAAAACUGAAAACUCUCUGACACCAAUAGUUCCUUUUCCAGGGUCAAAGUAAUUUCAAGGUAAAAACCACAUAAUCAAUGAAGUGGUGUUUUGCAUAUUCUUGAAAAAUCCUGCUUCCACAAGUUGUUCCAAGUCACCCAGGUGGGUAUUACUAUACCUCACUAUACUUUCAAAGAACCAAAGUGUGGCAGAUGAGGUGUUGUCUGCACAAUGUCUUCCUUUUUUUUUUUUAAUAUAUUUUUUUCCAUUUAUUUCUAUUAGUAGGAGGCUAAUUACUUUACAAUAUUGCAGUUGUUUUUGCCAUACAUUGACAUGAAUCAGCCAUAGAUUUACAUGUGUUCCCCAUACUGAUCCCCCCUCCCACCUCCCUCCCCAUCCCAUCCCUCUGGGUCUUCCCAGCACACCAGCCCUGAGCACUUGUCUCAUGCAUCCAACCUGGGCUGGUGAUCUGUUUCAUCAUUGAUAGUAUACUUGGUUCAAUACUAUUCUCUCUGAACAUCCCACCCUUGCCUUCUCCCACGGAGUCUAAAAGUCUCUUCUGUACAUCUAUGUCUGUUUUUCUGUUUUGCA